RNAcentral lists this transfer RNA (74 nucleotides) under Coriobacteriaceae bacterium. Its description in RNAcentral is "tRNA-Arg". It matches the Rfam family "tRNA". From Rfam's summary of the family: Transfer RNA (tRNA) molecules are approximately 80 nucleotides in length. Their secondary structure includes four short double-helical elements and three loops (D, anti-codon, and T loops). The record is from RNAcentral. Lineage: Bacteria; Bacillati; Actinomycetota; Coriobacteriia; Coriobacteriales; Coriobacteriaceae.
GCGCCGUUAGCUCAGAAGGAUAGAGCGCGGGACUUCUAAUCCCGAUGCCGCAGGUUCGAUUCCUGCACGGCGCA